GACGAACGCUGGCGGCGUGCUUAACACAUGCAAGUCGAACGGAAAGGCCCUGCUCUUGUGGGGUGCUCGAGUGGCGAAAGGGUGAGUAACACGUGAGUAACCUGCCCUUGACUUUGGGAUAACUUCAGGAAACUGGGGCUAAUACCGGAUAGGAGCUCCUGCUGCAUGGUGGGGGUUGGAAAGUUUCGGCGGUUGGGGAUGGACUCGCGGCUUAUCAGCUUGUUGGUGGGGUAGUGGCUUACCAAGGCUUUGACGGGUAGCCGGCCUGAGAGGGUGACCGGCCACAUGGGGACUGAGAUACGGCCCAGACUCCUACGGGAGGCAGCAGUGGGGAAUAUUGCAGAAUGGGCGGGAGCCUGAUGCAGCAACGCCGCGUGCGGGAUGACGGCCUUCGGGUUGUAAACCGCUUUCGCCUGUGACGAAGCGUGAGUGACGGUAAUGGGUAAAGAAGCACCGGCUAACUACGUG
Molecule: ribosomal RNA, 468 nt
Filed under: uncultured bacterium
Lineage: Bacteria
Description: partial 16S ribosomal RNA
Rfam family: Bacterial small subunit ribosomal RNA
Source: RNAcentral